GAGAAGCUUCUAUAUAUGGAUUCGAAAUCAUCAAUUUUUUUCUCAUUUCAACCUAGACAAAAAUUUCAGCUUUCUAGGUUUUUCUCUCUUGUUCUCUCUUGGCUAUGAAGUAACCCUAUAGUUCCACAAGGUUUAUUCGGAUUGACCUUCCUUCCAAGAUAAAGGAUUAAGAUAUUGAAGAAAUAGACAUUAAGGAAUAAACUACCAAGUAAAUCAAGGCUACAGGCACAGGUGCUUCGGCAAACACGCCUCCUCAGUAGGAUCCCAGGAUAUCCAUCUGCUAUUGGUGAGCUCCAGUUUGCUUUGGGGCUUUCCGAGUCGGUUCUAUAUAUUUUUGGUAUUGUAUAAAAUUUAAUAGUAUGGCGGAGUUUUUUCCCGACCUUAGCUAAUUUCUAUGUAUCAUCUAGAGACUUUAUAGACCAAUGUAAAGUUAAGCAUGGUAGUGUGUUAUCUUGUAGAUGUUAUGGACCCAACGGCCAAUUCUAUUAUGUAUAUGGUUUUAGGGAUUGUCAUUUAUAUUUUUUUUAUUAAGGCAUUAUAUCCAUAGAUGGAAAAA
This is a long non-coding RNA of Capsicum annuum, 556 nucleotides long. RefSeq lists it as uncharacterized. The record is from RefSeq and is a predicted model, not a curated record. The transcript is spliced from 3 exons. NCBI's taxonomy places the organism in Eukaryota, Viridiplantae, Streptophyta, Magnoliopsida, Solanales, Solanaceae.